Molecule: ribosomal RNA, 492 nt
Filed under: uncultured bacterium
Lineage: Bacteria
Description: partial 16S ribosomal RNA
Rfam family: Bacterial small subunit ribosomal RNA
Source: RNAcentral
AGUGAACGCUGGCGGUAGGCCUAACACAUGCAAGUCGAACGGCAGCACAGUAAGAGCUUGCUCUUACGGGUGGCGAGUGGCGGACGGGUGAGGAAUACAUCGGAAUCUACUUUUUCGUGGGGGAUAACGUAGGGAAACUUACGCUAAUACCGCAUACGACCUACGGGUGAAAGCAGGGGAUCUUCGGACCUUGCGCGAUUGAAUGAGCCGAUGUCGGAUUAGCUAGUUGGCGGGGUAAAGGCCCACCAAGGCGACGAUCCGUAGCUGGUCUGAGAGGAUGAUCGGCCACACUGGAACUGAGACACGGUCCAGGCUCCUACGGGAGGCAGCAGUGGGGAAUAUUGGACAAUGGGCGCAAGCCUGAUCCAACCAUACCGCGUGGGUGAAGAAGGCCUUCGGGUUGUAAAGCCCUUUUGUUGGGAAAGAAAAGCAGCAGGUUAAUACCCCGCUGUUCUGACGGUACCCAAGGAAUAAGCACCGGCUAACUUCGUG